Molecule: ribosomal RNA, 301 nt
Filed under: uncultured bacterium
Lineage: Bacteria
Description: partial 16S ribosomal RNA
Rfam family: Bacterial small subunit ribosomal RNA
Source: RNAcentral
CAGCCGCCACGGUAAUACGAAGGGGGCUAGCGUUGUUCGGAAUUACUGGGCGUAAAGCGCACGUAGGCGGAUAUUUAAGUCAGGGGUGAAAUCCCGCAGCUCAACUGCGGAACUGCCUUUGAUACUGGGUAUCUUGAGUAUGGAAGAGGUUAGUGGAAUUGCGAGUGUAGAGGUGAAAUUCGUAGAUAUUCGCAGGAACACCAGUGGCGAAGGCGGCUAACUGGUCCAUAACUGACGCUGAGGUGCGAAAGCGUGGGGAGCAAACAGGAUUAGAUACCCGUGUAGUCCCUGUCUCUUAUAC